This 497-nucleotide ribosomal RNA is filed under the name uncultured bacterium. RNAcentral's name for it is "partial 16S ribosomal RNA". It matches the Rfam family "Bacterial small subunit ribosomal RNA", at positions 28 to 507 of the family's 1533-position model. The record is from RNAcentral.
GACGAACGCUGGCGGCGUGCCUAAUACAUGCAAGUUGAGCGCUGAAGGUUGGUACUUGUACCAACUGGAUGAGCAGCGAACGGGUGAGUAACGCGUGGGGAAUCUGCCUUUGAGCGGGGGACAACAUUUGGAAACGAAUGCUAAUACCGCAUAAAAACUUUAAACACAAGUUUUAAGUUUGAAAGAUGCAAUUGCAUCAUUAAAAGAUGAUCCCGCGUUGUAUUAGCUAGUUGGUGAGGUAAAGGCUCACCAAGGCGAUGAUACAUAGCCGACCUGAGAGGGUGAUCGGCCAAAUUGGGACUGAGACACGGCCCAAACUCCUACGGGAGGCAGCAGUAGGGAAUCUUCGGCAAUGGAGGAAAGUCUGACCGAGCAACGCCGCGUGAGUGAAGAAGGUUUUCGGAUCGUAAAACUCUGUUGGUAGAGAAGAACGUUGGUGAGGGUGGAAAGCUCAUCAAGUGACGGUAACUACCCAGAAAGGGACGGCUAACUACGUG